Non-coding RNA from Xylaria palmicola, 100 nucleotides. Lineage: Eukaryota; Fungi; Ascomycota; Sordariomycetes; Xylariales; Xylariaceae. The record is from the annotation of a GenBank genome assembly.
UCCGAAUUGGUGUAGUGGCUAACAUUUGACGCUCUCAUUAAGAUUCCAAGAAUCUGAAUGAAGUACCGUCAAGCCCGGGGUUCGAUUCCCCGAUUCGGAG